UCCGCGAGAUUGAGGGGCGGAAGACGGAGUUGAGCCAAGCAAUUGUGAACAUGGAGCAAGGUGGUAGUGCUGAUGGUCUCCUUCAGGUCCGGGCUGACAGAAUACAAUCAGAUCUAGAGGAACUGAUGAAGGCUUUAACUGAACGUUGCAAUAAACAUGGGUUGGAGGUUAAGUCCAAGGCCCUAGUAGACCUUCCAGCUGGUUGGCAACCUGGAAUUCAAGAAGGGGCA
Camelina sativa (false flax) is the source of this 230-nucleotide non-coding RNA. The record is from RefSeq and is a predicted model, not a curated record. NCBI's taxonomy places the organism in Eukaryota, Viridiplantae, Streptophyta, Magnoliopsida, Brassicales, Brassicaceae.